CCUUUGGAAAAAGGCAGCAAAGAGGGUGAGACUCCCGUUCUUGCCUGAGAUGCUUGACUUGAAUCAUGUCUUCAACGAUCGAGUUGUUUGGGAUUGCAUCUCAAAGCGGGUGGUAAAUUCCAUCUAAAGCUAAAUAUUGGUGGGAGACCGAUAGCGAACAAGUACCGUGAGGGAAAGAUGAAAAGAACUUUGAAAAGAGAGUUAAAGAGUACCUGAAAUUGCUGAAAAGGAAGCGAAGGAAACCAGUGUUAUCUCCAACCAUUUUUCUCGUGCUGCUUGCAGUGUG
RNAcentral lists this ribosomal RNA (286 nucleotides) under Chaetoceros laevisporus. RNAcentral's name for it is "partial large subunit ribosomal RNA". It matches the Rfam family "Eukaryotic large subunit ribosomal RNA", at positions 187 to 472 of the family's 3401-position model. The record is from RNAcentral. Lineage: Eukaryota; Bacillariophyta; Thalassiosirophyceae; Chaetocerotales; Chaetocerotaceae.